Erinaceus europaeus (western European hedgehog) is the source of this 987-nucleotide long non-coding RNA. RefSeq lists it as uncharacterized. The record is from RefSeq and is a predicted model, not a curated record. NCBI's taxonomy places the organism in Eukaryota, Metazoa, Chordata, Mammalia, Eulipotyphla, Erinaceidae. The transcript has 2 exons.
UAGAAAGAACAGGGCUUCCCUCAGUAUCCCUGCAUUAAAACUUACGAGUUCCAUUUCGUUUAUGUUGUCAGAGUAAAUGUCCACGUCGGAAGGAAACUUUCUCAGAUUGCUCCCACAGAAUUCACACCUCACAUAAAACAUUUAGACUUGACUCUUCUGGACGGAUCAUCCAUUUUUCUGAAGAGAAAGAAAAGUUGUGACUGAGAACAAAGUUGUACAGUUUUUCUAGCUGAGAGCCUUGGGCCUAUCAUGCACUCACUGUUCACAUGCACCAAGUUCCUUCAUCACCUGGGAGAUACUCUCAAGGGAAACCUUUUUUUAAUUUUUAAAAUUAUUUAUUUGAUAGAGACAACCAGAAAUCAAGAGGAAGGGGGAGACAGGGAAAGAGACAGAGAGACACCUGCAGCCCUGCUUCUCCGCUCACGAAGCAUUCUUGAACCUGGGUUCUUGCACAUUAUAACAUGUGUGCUCAACCAGGUGUGCCACCAACUGGCCCCUGGGAAACCUUUUUUUAAAUUUUUUUUUUAUUCUUUAUUUAUUGGAUAGAGACAGCCAGAAAUUGAGAAAAAGGGAGAGACAGGGAAAGAGAGAGAGACACUUGAAACCCUGCUUCACCACUCUCAAAGCUUCCCCCCUAUAGGUGGGGACCGGGGGUUAGAACUCAGGUCUUUGCACGUUGUAACAUAUGCUGUAACAUGUGCAUCUAACCAGGUGCACCACUGCCCUGCCCCACAGGAACCUUUUUCUAGAGAGGGUGGGCACCAUCUGAGUUAAGGCUAGCUUCUUAAGGUUAGUCUGCCUUUGCCAGCAGAGGAGAUGAUUCCAAAAAUUGUUUACCUCUUGACUUAGGAACUGUGCCUUUAGAUUUGUACCCCUUUGCUUUAGGGGGUAUUUUCUUCUCUGUAAAAAGAGGAUAGAUUUGUGAUCAAUCUUGAUAAGUAGGAUAGAACCUUAUUAUAAAAGAAAAUAAGACUUUUGGAGAAAUAA